AGAACGAACGCUGGCGGCAGGCUUAACACAUGCAAGUCGAACGCCCCGCAAGGGGAGUGGCAGACGGGUGAGUAACGCGUGGGAAUCUACCCAAUUCUACGGAACAACAGUUGGAAACGACUGCUAAUACCGUAUACGCCCUACGGGGGAAAGAUUUAUCGGAAUUGGAUGAGCCCGCGUUGGAUUAGCUAGUUGGUGGGGUAAAGCCUACCAAGGCGACGAUCCAUAGCUGGUCUGAGAGGAUGAUCAGCCACAUUGGGACUGAGACACGGCCCAAACUCCUACGGGAGGCAGCAGUGGGGAAUAUUGGACAAUGGGCGCAAGCCUGAUCCAGUCAUGCCGCGUGAGUGAUGAAGGUCUUAGGAUUGUAAAGCUACUUUACCGAGAUGAUAAUGACAGUAUCGGAGAAUAACGCCCGGACUAACUCCGCGCUAGCAGCCGAC
This 443-nucleotide ribosomal RNA is filed under the name uncultured soil bacterium. Its description in RNAcentral is "bacterial SSU rRNA". It matches the Rfam family "Bacterial small subunit ribosomal RNA", at positions 26 to 518 of the family's 1533-position model. The record is from RNAcentral.